This is a long non-coding RNA of Lotus japonicus, 501 nucleotides long. RefSeq lists it as uncharacterized. NCBI's taxonomy places the organism in Eukaryota, Viridiplantae, Streptophyta, Magnoliopsida, Fabales, Fabaceae. The transcript has 2 exons. The record is from RefSeq and is a predicted model, not a curated record.
UUCUGCCUCCAAUAUCCCAUUUGCUUGAGUGUUAGCUUUUGAAAAUAAAGCAUACAGAAGAUCCUCAUAAUAUGAGACUGUUGAUUAACAUUAGGGUCCUCUUCCUCUACACUUUGCAGGGGUUAUGGUUCUGGGAUGAUUUUGUUGUGGGAAGAAGCUGAGGGAAGGAUCAUUUGAAUUGGAUCAUGGAGUCACUGCCUCAGGGUCUUGUUUUUCCUGUUCUUCACUUGCAGGAUGUUUCUUCCAAGCCAAAUUGCUGAAAGGUACCAAGCUACUUCCAUUUUAAAUAUUGGAGAAAGGAGCAUAUGAAGUUUUUCCUAUACUAGAAUUUAGACAUUGCACAAGCUAAAAUUUUGAAUGAUAUAGAGAACUAUCACUAGUAUAGUUAAAUUUUCAGAUUUGGAGGUCCAUAUGAAGAGAACUAUCAGUAUGAGUUAUCUCAAUGUAGCCAAUUAUUGGAUCUGAAACUUUGAUUGAGGUAGAACCUUAGCCUUUGAAUUA